RNAcentral lists this ribosomal RNA (429 nucleotides) under Acidobacteriota bacterium. Its description in RNAcentral is "Acidobacteria bacterium partial 16S ribosomal RNA". It matches the Rfam family "Bacterial small subunit ribosomal RNA", at positions 355 to 776 of the family's 1533-position model. The record is from RNAcentral. Lineage: Bacteria; Pseudomonadati; Acidobacteriota.
UGGGGAAUUUUGGACAAUGGGGGAAACCCUGAUCCAGCCAUCCCGCGUGUGCGAUGAAGGCCUUCGGGUUGUAAAGCACUUUUGGCAGGAAAGAAACGUCAUGGGUUAAUACCCCGUGAAACUGACGGUACCUGCAGAAUAAGCACCGGCUAACUACGUGCCAGCAGCCGCGGUAAUACGUAGGGUGCAAGCGUUAAUCGGAAUUACUGGGCGUAAAGCGUGCGCAGGCGGUUCGGAAAGAAAGAUGUGAAAUCCCAGAGCUCAACUUUGGAACUGCAUUUUUAACUACCGGGCUAGAGUGUGUCAGAGGGAGGUGGAAUUCCGCGUGUAGCAGUGAAAUGCGUAGAUAUGCGGAGGAACUCCGAUGGCGAAGGCAGCCGCCUGGGAUAACACUGACGCUCAUGCACGAAAGCGUGGGGAGCAAACAGG